RNAcentral lists this long non-coding RNA (275 nucleotides) under Elaeis guineensis (African oil palm). RNAcentral's name for it is "long non-coding RNA (EGUI_LNC048850)". Lineage: Eukaryota; Viridiplantae; Streptophyta; Magnoliopsida; Arecales; Arecaceae. The record is from RNAcentral.
UUGUCUUCUUUUCUUCAAAAAUCUUUUAAACUUUCUAGUGAUGAGAGCCAUUUCUUCAUCUUGUUCUUCAUUUUCAGUUUCUUCGGAUUCCUCAUCGAGUUGAGUAGUGGACUUGAGGGCGAUUGUCCUCUUCUUCUUGACAUCUUCUUCUUGAUGUUGUUUCAUGCUUAGCUCGUAUGUCAUUAGCGAUCCUAGAAGCUCCUCCAAAGAUAAAAUAUUCAGAUCUUUGGCUUCUUGGAUUGUGGUCACUUUGGCCUCCCACGUCCUUAAUAAAG